RNAcentral lists this ribosomal RNA (465 nucleotides) under uncultured Klebsiella sp. RNAcentral describes it as "bacterial SSU rRNA". It matches the Rfam family "Bacterial small subunit ribosomal RNA", at positions 338 to 795 of the family's 1533-position model. Lineage: Bacteria; Pseudomonadati; Pseudomonadota; Gammaproteobacteria; Enterobacterales; Enterobacteriaceae. The record is from RNAcentral.
CCUACGGGUGGCUGCAGUGGGGAAUAUUGCACAAUGGGCGCAAGCCUGAUGCAGCCAUGCCGCGUGCGUGAAGAAGGCCUUCGGGUUGUAAAGCACUUUCAGCGGGGAGGAAGGCGGUGAGGUUAAUAACCUCAUCGAUUGACGUUACCCGCAGAAGAAGCACCGGCUAACUCCGUGCCAGCAGCCGCGGUAAUACGGAGGGUGCAAGCGUUAAUCGGAAUUACUGGGCGUAAAGCGCACGCAGGCGGUCUGUCAAGUCGGAUGUGAAAUCCCCGGGCUCAACCUGGGAACUGCAUUCGAAACUGGCAGGCUAGAGUCUUGUAGAGGGGGGUAGAAUUCCAGGUGUAGCGGUGAAAUGCGUAGAGAUCUGGAGGAAUACCGGUGGCGAAGGCGGCCCCCUGGACAAAGACUGACGCUCAGGUGCGAAAGCGUGGGGAGCAAACAGGAUUAGAUACCCCAGUAGUC